GGGGAGAUGCCAUGAUCAUGAAGGUGGUUUUCCCAGAGACAGGCUUCUCUACUGUACUCUGAAUGUGCUGACCCCACCCCUGUGAUUUCCUGAGGGAGUUUCAGC
RNAcentral lists this small nuclear RNA (105 nucleotides) under Microtus ochrogaster (prairie vole). RNAcentral's name for it is "U1 spliceosomal RNA (ENSMOCG00000006560.1)". Lineage: Eukaryota; Metazoa; Chordata; Mammalia; Rodentia; Cricetidae. The record is from RNAcentral.